CAUUUAUUGCAAGUACAACAUAUACAGGUUAUCAGAUACAGCCUAACGUACGGUUCAUUCUGAUUCAGCCCAACAUAUGACUUCUUCAGCAACUCCAAUGCGGUCUAACGUACGACCCCUUUGGACCUUCAAAUCCUCAGAUGCUGCCUAGCGUACGGUACAUUCAGGGGUGUAGUCUAGCGUACGACUACUUUCUUUUUCAGAUACAGCCUAGCGUACGGUUCACUCUGAUUCAGCUCAACCU
RNAcentral lists this long non-coding RNA (244 nucleotides) under Lathyrus oleraceus (garden pea). RNAcentral's name for it is "Pisum sativum (pea) long non-coding RNA (PSAT_LNC003572)". Lineage: Eukaryota; Viridiplantae; Streptophyta; Magnoliopsida; Fabales; Fabaceae. The record is from RNAcentral.